This 253-nucleotide ribosomal RNA is filed under the name uncultured bacterium. RNAcentral's name for it is "partial 16S ribosomal RNA". It matches the Rfam family "Bacterial small subunit ribosomal RNA", at positions 524 to 776 of the family's 1533-position model. The record is from RNAcentral.
UACGAAGGGGGCUAGCGUUGCUCGGAAUUACUGGGCGUAAAGGGCGCGUAGGCGGAUAUUUAAGUCGGGGGUGAAAGCCCAGGGCUCAACCCUGGAAUUGCCUUCGAUACUGGAUAUCUUGAGUUCGGGAGAGGUGAGUGGAAUGCCGAGUGUAGAGGUGAAAUUCGUAGAUAUUCGGCGGAACACCAGUGGCGAAGGCGGCUCUCUGGAACGCAACUGACGCUGAGACGCGAAAGCGUGGGGAGCAAACAGG